GAUGAACGCUAGCUACAGGCUUAACACAUGCAAGUCGAGGGGAAACGCCAUUGAAGCUUGCUUCGAUGGUCGUCGACCGGCGCACGGGUGAGUAACGCGUAUCCAACCUGCCUCUGACCAAGGGAUAACCCGUCGAAACUCGUCCUAAUACCUUAUUCAUUCGUCGUAAGGCAUCUGAUGACGACGAAGGAUUUCAGCGGUGAGUGACGGGGCUGCGUCUGAUUAGCUUGUUGGCGGGUUAACGGCGCACCAAGGCAACGAUCAGUAGGGGUUCUGAGAGGAACGUCCCCGAGAUUGGAACUGGGAAACUGGCCACAGUGAUACGGGACGGAGCCGUGCGGGAUGUAGCAGUGUGGGAGAGUGCCUGAUCGAGCGAAGUCGCGUGCAGGAAGGCGGCGCUCGGGAUUGUAAACUGCUUGUAUGAGGCGAUAAAGUGAGGGAAGUGUGCGUGAUUGAAGGUAACGGAUGAAUAAGGACCGGCUAAUUACGUG
This 491-nucleotide ribosomal RNA is filed under the name uncultured bacterium. Its description in RNAcentral is "partial 16S ribosomal RNA". It matches the Rfam family "Bacterial small subunit ribosomal RNA", at positions 28 to 507 of the family's 1533-position model. The record is from RNAcentral.